This 601-nucleotide ribosomal RNA is filed under the name uncultured bacterium A41. RNAcentral's name for it is "bacterial SSU rRNA". It matches the Rfam family "Bacterial small subunit ribosomal RNA", at positions 52 to 653 of the family's 1533-position model. The record is from RNAcentral. Lineage: Bacteria; Bacillati; Bacillota; Clostridia; Eubacteriales.
CACAUGCAAGUCGAGCGCGAUUAGUUGGACUGGAGACUUCGGUCAAAGGGAAGACUAUGAAAGCGGUUGACGGGUGAGUAACGCGUGAGCAACCUGCCCUGUACAGGGGGAUAGCCACUGGAAACGGUGAUUAAUACCCCAUAAACCCAAAAGAUCGCAUGAUCUAAUGGGCAAAGUUCCAACGGUACAGGAUGGGCUCGCGUCUGAUUAGCAAGUUGGUGAGGUAAUGGCUCACCAAGGCGACGAUCAGUAGCCGACCUGAGAGGGUGAACGGCCACACUGGAACUGAGACACGGUCCAGACUCCUACGGGAGGCAGCAGUGGGGAAUAUUGCACAAUGGGGGAAACCCUGAUGCAGCAACGCCGCGUGAGUGAUGAAGGCCUUCGGGUCGUAAAGCUCUUUGAUCAGGGACGAUAAUGACGGUACCUGAAAAACAAGCCACGGCUAACUACGUGCCAGCAGCCGCGGUAAUACGUAGGUGGCGAGCGUUGUCCGGAUUUACUGGGCGUAAAGAAUGCGUAGGUGGAUAUUUAAGUGGGAUGUGAAAUCCCCGGCUCAACCCGGGAACUGCAUACCAAACUGGAUAUCUGGAGUGCAGGA